This 830-nucleotide ribosomal RNA is filed under the name Thermococcus sp. Tc70_12. RNAcentral describes it as "bacterial SSU rRNA". It matches the Rfam family "Archaeal small subunit ribosomal RNA", at positions 49 to 881 of the family's 1478-position model. Lineage: Archaea; Methanobacteriati; Methanobacteriota; Thermococci; Thermococcales; Thermococcaceae. The record is from RNAcentral.
UCAUGGGAGCGCGCUCUGCGCGCACCGGCGGACGGCUCAGUAACACGUCGGUAACCUACCCUCGGGAGGGGGAUAACCCCGGGAAACUGGGGCUAAUCCCCCAUAGGCCUGAGGUACUGGAAGGUCCUCAGGCCGAAAGGGGCAUCUGCCCGCCCGAGGAUGGGCCGGCGGCCGAUUAGGUAGUUGGUGGGGUAACGGCCCACCAAGCCGAAGAUCGGUACGGGCCAUGAGAGUGGGAGCCCGGAGAUGGACACUGAGACACGGGUCCAGGCCCUACGGGGCGCAGCAGGCGCGAAACCUCCGCAAUGCGGGCAACCGCGACGGGGGGACCCCCAGUGCCGUGGCAUCGCCACGGCUUUUCCGGAGUGUAAAAAGCUCCGGGAAUAAGGGCUGGGCAAGGCCGGUGGCAGCCGCCGCGGUAAUACCGGCGGCCCGAGUGGUGGCCGCUAUUAUUGGGCCUAAAGCGUCCGUAGCCGGGCCCGUAAGUCCCUGGCGAAAUCCCACGGCUCAACCGUGGGGCUUGCUGGGGAUACUGCGGGCCUUGGGACCGGGAGAGGCCGGGGGUACCCCUGGGGUAGGGGUGAAAUCCUAUAAUCCCAGGGGGACCGCCAGUGGCGAAGGCGCCCGGCUGGAACGGGUCCGACGGUGAGGGACGAAGGCCAGGGGAGCGAACCGGAUUAGAUACCCGGGUAGUCCUGGCUGUAAAGGAUGCGGGCUAGGUGUCGGGCGAGCUUCGAGCUCGCCCGGUGCCGAAGGGAAGCCGUUAAGCCCGCCGCCUGGGGAGUACGGCCGCAAGGCUGAAACUUAAAGGAAUUGGCGGGGGAGCACUA